UUGGGUUAAGUCCCGCAACGAGCGCAACCCUCGUUCUUAGUUGCCAGCAUUUCGGAUGGGCACUCUAGGGAGACUGCCGGUGACAAACCGGAGGAAGGUGGGGAUGACGUCAAGUCAGCAUGCCCCUUACGUCCUGGGCUACACACGUACUACAAUGCUCGAGACAAAGGGCAGCAAGUAUGCGAAUACAAGCAAAUCUCAGAAACUCGGGCUCAGUUCAGAUCGCAGGCUGCAACUCGCCUGCGUGAAGUCGGAAUCGCUAGUAAUUGCAGGUCAGCAUACUGCAGUGAAUUCGUUCCCGGGCCUUGUACACACCGCCCGUCACACCAUGGAAGCUGGUCACGCCCGAAGUCGUUACCCUAACCGUCAAAGGAGGGGGACGCCGAAGGUAGGACUGGUGACUGGGGUGAAGUCGUAACAAGGUAGCCGUACCGGAAGGUGUGGCUGGAUCACCUCCUUU
RNAcentral lists this ribosomal RNA (460 nucleotides) under uncultured cyanobacterium. Its description in RNAcentral is "bacterial SSU rRNA". It matches the Rfam family "Bacterial small subunit ribosomal RNA", at positions 1075 to 1533 of the family's 1533-position model. The record is from RNAcentral. Lineage: Bacteria; Bacillati; Cyanobacteriota.